RNAcentral lists this ribosomal RNA (1379 nucleotides) under Escherichia coli. Its description in RNAcentral is "partial 23S ribosomal RNA". It matches the Rfam family "Bacterial large subunit ribosomal RNA", at positions 1561 to 2916 of the family's 2925-position model. Lineage: Bacteria; Pseudomonadati; Pseudomonadota; Gammaproteobacteria; Enterobacterales; Enterobacteriaceae. The record is from RNAcentral.
GCGUGAUGACGAGGCACUGCGGUGCUGAAGCAACAAAUGCCCUGCUUCCAGGAAAAGCCUCUAAGCAUCAGGUAACAUCAAAUCGUACCCCAAACCGACACAGGUGGUCAGGUAGAGAAUACCAAGGCGCUUGAGAGAACUCGGGUGAAGGAACUAGGCAAAAUGGUGCCGUAACUUCGGGAGAAGGCACGCUGAUAUGUAGGUGAAGUCCCUCGCGGAUGGAGCUGAAAUCAGUCGAAGAUACCAGCUGGCUGCAACUGUUUAUUAAAAACACAGCACUGUGCAAACACGAAAGUGGACGUAUACGGUGUGACGCCUGCCCGGUGCCGGAAGGUUAAUUGAUGGGGUUAGCGCAAGCGAAGCUCUUGAUCGAAGCCCCGGUAAACGGCGGCCGUAACUAUAACGGUCCUAAGGUAGCGAAAUUCCUUGUCGGGUAAGUUCCGACCUGCACGAAUGGCGUAAUGAUGGCCAGGCUGUCUCCACCCGAGACUCAGUGAAAUUGAACUCGCUGUGAAGAUGCAGUGUACCCGCGGCAAGACGGAAAGACCCCGUGAACCUUUACUAUAGCUUGACACUGAACAUUGAGCCUUGAUGUGUAGGAUAGGUGGGAGGCUUUGAAGUGUGGACGCCAGUCUGCAUGGAGCCGACCUUGAAAUACCACCCUUUAAUGUUUGAUGUUCUAACGUUGACCCGUAAUCCGGGUUGCGGACAGUGUCUGGUGGGUAGUUUGACUGGGGCGGUCUCCUCCUAAAGAGUAACGGAGGAGCACGAAGGUUGGCUAAUCCUGGUCGGACAUCAGGAGGUUAGUGCAAUGGCAUAAGCCAGCUUGACUGCGAGCGUGACGGCGCGAGCAGGUGCGAAAGCAGGUCAUAGUGAUCCGGUGGUUCUGAAUGGAAGGGCCAUCGCUCAACGGAUAAAAGGUACUCCGGGGAUAACAGGCUGAUACCGCCCAAGAGUUCAUAUCGACGGCGGUGUUUGGCACCUCGAUGUCGGCUCAUCACAUCCUGGGGCUGAAGUAGGUCCCAAGGGUAUGGCUGUUCGCCAUUUAAAGUGGUACGCGAGCUGGGUUUAGAACGUCGUGAGACAGUUCGGUCCCUAUCUGCCGUGGGCGCUGGAGAACUGAGGGGGGCUGCUCCUAGUACGAGAGGACCGGAGUGGACGCAUCACUGGUGUUCGGGUUGUCAUGCCAAUGGCACUGCCCGGUAGCUAAAUGCGGAAGAGAUAAGUGCUGAAAGCAUCUAAGCACGAAACUUGCCCCGAGAUGAGUUCUCCCUGACUCCUUGAGAGUCCUGAAGGAACGUUGAAGACGACGACGUUGAUAGGCCGGGUGUGUAAGCGCAGCGAUGCGUUGAGCUAACCGGUACUAAUGAACCGUGAGG